GACAGCAGUCGCCGCGGUAAUACGGAGGGAGCUAGCGUUGUUUGGAAUUACUGGGCGUAAAGCGUGCGUAGGCGGUUUGUUAAGUCUGCUGUGAAAUCCCCGGGCUCAACCUGGGAAUGGCAGUGGAUACUGGCAAGCUAGAGUGUGUCAGAGGAUGGUGGAAUUCCCGGUGUAGCGGUGAAAUGCGUAGAGAUCGGGAGGAACAUCAGUGGCGAAGGCGGCCAUCUGGGACAACACUGACGCUGAGGCACGAAAGCGUGGGGAGCAAACAGGAUUAGAUACCCCCGUAGUCCCUGUCUCUUAUAC
Molecule: ribosomal RNA, 306 nt
Filed under: uncultured bacterium
Lineage: Bacteria
Description: partial 16S ribosomal RNA
Rfam family: Bacterial small subunit ribosomal RNA
Source: RNAcentral